UCGCCGUGUAGCGCAAGCCCUAGCCGGACAAACGCAGACGGCUUGAGCGCGCGAUCGGUUUGCUUCGACAGCGACAGCCUCUUUUUCCCUCGAUUUUUACACGCCAACGGGCAUUCCCACGUGCGCGCGGCUGACUCGCGNGUUAAAUGAAGCCUAAAUAGGGGGAAGGGAGAAAAAAGAAAGAGGGAAAAAAAAAACCCGCGAUCGCUUUUGCUGCGCGGGGGCGGCGUGCGAAAGCUGCGCAAUUUUGCGCGCCCUCUGCGCAAGCAAGGCGCCUUCCCCCCCCCCCGAUCUUUUUUCGGCUCGAAGCGAGGGGGGGGUGGCUUGUCCCUUCCGCCUGCGCUGCGCAUCCGAGGUAGACCCCGAGGUAACGGAGGGAAGGAGAAGAAAAGGGCGCCUUCGCCUCCGCGGGGGCGCAAGGGGUUCGCAGCCCCAGGCGGCUUCCAGGCCAGCAGGGCUCAGCAGCAGCAGCACAGAACCGAAAGGAGGCGGGAGAGCGGGGGGGGAGGUAUAAAUCUCCUACGCGCUCUUUCCUUCCCCCCCACCCGCGGCCAGACAGACGGACAGACAGACCGACUUCCCCCACUGCGCUCAUGCGCUUUGGCACGAUGUAACCCCCCUCCCGAGGAGGAGGCGUCUCCCGAGGUGCAACAGGCCCCCUUUUUGCCGCGCGCGCGCUUUGCAGCGCCUCCCUCCGCCUCCUCCUUUGUGGGCGCCGUGCCGUUUGCAACCAGGCGCCCCUUCCCCCCGCCCGCUUCUUUCCCCUGCGCGGCUGAGACCAGGCAGCAACUCAUCGCACUGGUGGCGAGCGAGCGAGCAGAGCAGCAGCCGCCGCCGCCGCCGCCGCCGNGAGGGAGGGAGNGAGGGGGGAGGCAGGAGGGAGGGAGGGGGGCAGCCUUGUACCGCUUUAAGCAGCCUUGCCCAUUGUUCGCCGCUCGGCCAAUGGGCGCCCCGCUCUCCUCCGCGGGCGCCCAAUCCCGGCUGGGCAGGGGAGGGCGCGCGCCGCCCCCUUCAUCUAUAUUAAAGCUAGUGGCGCCGCGUGAGCUUCCCACUGGCUCCUCCGUCCAAAGCCAUCUUUGCAUUGUUCCGGCCUCUUGCCUCCUCCUCCUCCUCCCAGGCGCGCGCCGUCGGACCUCCACGGGCUUUCUGGGUGCCGUUCUGCUCUCCCGGCGGGGUCUCGUCCUUGCUUCCUCCGAGCUCGCUUCGCGCCGUCUCGCCCGCCCAUCCGCAGCCAGCCAUGUCAGACACAGUGGUGGACACCAGCUCCGAGAUCCCCACCAAGGAGUUGAAAGAGAAGAAGGAAGUUGUUGA
This 1311-nucleotide long non-coding RNA is filed under the name Salvator merianae (Argentine black and white tegu). RNAcentral's name for it is "lncRNA (ENSSMRG00000018751.1)". The record is from RNAcentral. Lineage: Eukaryota; Metazoa; Chordata; Lepidosauria; Squamata; Teiidae.